Molecule: long non-coding RNA, 3408 nt
Organism: Schistocerca serialis cubense
Lineage: Eukaryota; Metazoa; Arthropoda; Insecta; Orthoptera; Acrididae
Exons: 3
Source: RefSeq, a predicted model, not a curated record
AGGAGAACCCACAAACUCUGGUGAGAGACGAGAAACCAUACCUUCAAAAUGGAGGCAAUAACUGAGAGGAUUGUGGUCUUUCUUCAAUUUUAAUUGAAUUGUGUGGUGAUUCCGACAGUUUUAAUGCCGACAUUAAUGAUUCAGAUUCCAGUUCAAACCAGGAGAUGGAAGAGUCUACGAAUAUUAAUACCAGUAUAUAUGAGAUGUCCUGGUCCUGGAGGUGGAAGGAUCUGCUCACAGUGGAGGCAGCUCCUGUCAGUAAACUUUACCAAAUUGUGGGUACAGCUCCAACAGGUAUCCUCAUGAAACCAACUUGAGAAAUUGAUAGGAAGAAACAGAAAACUGAUUCCAGACAUCCCUUAUUUGACCACAAGCAUCGGCGACCAGGACUCAGAAUUGCGAAAGCGCUUCAUGCAGAUAACUACAGCAAUGCCUUCAUUUCUUGGUGCUCGCCUAGUGGAACUUUGACAAGAUCUUUCGCCCAAAGCACACGAAACAAAUGUCAAAGGAGAACCAGUGGCUGGUUCAGACCUACCUUAUGUGAUAAGAAAAAAUGCUAAACAGAUUGAUAACUGGGGUUUCACAAUGCAAAGUCAACUUCACAAAAUAGUGGGUCAGCAGUGAUGAUGAAAUUUGCCAUUGUGGUGUAGGACUGUGUUCCAACUUGUGGUAUUCCAAUGCCAGAAGAACGCAUUGUUCAAAUGAUUUCUGGUCCUUCGGUCAGUAUGCUAACUUAUGUCUGGUGCCACCAGUUAGCAGCUUUUCGAAGUAUUUCAAAACUUCUGUAUAAUGGCUGUAUAAAAGUCUUGCAGCUUUCGCAAUGAACAUAUCAUUUGUUGCUCUUGUCUGUCGAUCUUAGUUUUCAAGAAAUCAGCGACUCUUCUGCUGAACACACAAAGGAAUUUUCUGGGAGUGUUUUCAAUAGCAGGAGAUGUUUUGAUGGACUGUAAACACCUAACUAGCAGUGAUUAGAUGGAACAAGCAUAUCUUUCAUCAAGCAAAGUAGCAGAUAAUCUGGAAUGGGAAUCUGGAGGGAAGGAGAAGUAAGAGGUCAGCACUUGAGGACUGUGGCGCCUAUGAAAUCAGAUAUCCUGAUCCUGGAAGUGGAAGGGUCUGCUCACAGUGGAGGCAGCUCCUGUCAGUAAACUUUACGGAACUGUGGGUACAGCUCCAACAUGCAUCCUCGUGAAACCAACUUGAGAAAUUGAUAGGAAGAAACAGAAAACUGAUUCCAGACAUCCCUUAUUUGACCACGAGCAUCGGCGACCAGGACCCAGAAUUGUGAAAGCGCUUCAUGCAGAUAACUACAGCAAUGCCUUCAUUUCUUGGUGCUCGCCUAGUGGAACUUUGACAAGAUCUUUCGCCAAAAGCACACGAAACAAAUGUCAAAGGAGAACCAGUGGCAGGUUCAGACCUACCUUAUGUGAUAAGAAAAAAUGCCAAACAGAUUGAUCACUGGGGUUUCACAAUGCAAAGUCAACUUCACAAAAUAGUGCUUCAGCAGUGAUCAUGAAAUUUGCCAUUGUGGUGGCCUGCAGGAGCAUCAUCUAUUAGUCUGUUAACAGGAAUCUACUGUGCACACUACUAAGAGUGAUCUUGCUGCAGCUAAGGAAGCAGCCAAAAUUGUCAAAUAGUGGGCUCUCCACAGAAUUUGAAGAGAAUUAGCUUGCUGUUUUUUUAAAUCUUCCUGUCUGUAUUUUAUCAAUUCUUGUUGUACAUAUUUUUCUCUGUAUUUUUACUGUUAUUAAUUUCUAUCUGUAUGUUACUGAAUUUCCUCUGUAACUGAUUUUUUUAUAUGUACAGGGUGUUUCAAAAAUGACCGGUAUAUUUGAAACGGCAAUAAAAACUAAACGAGCAGCGAUAGAAAUACACAGUUCAUUGCAAUAUGCUUGGGACAACAGUACAUUUUCAGGCGGACAAACUUUCGAAAUUACAGUAGUUACAAUUUUCAACAACAGAUGGCGCUGCAAGUGAUGUGAACGAUAUAGAAGACAACGCAGUCUGUGGGUGCGCCAUUCUGUACGUCGUCUUUCUGCUGUAAGUGUGUGCUGUUUACAACGUGCAAGUGUGCUGUAGACAACAUGGUUUAUUCCUUAGAACAGAGGAUUUUUCUGGUGUUGGAAUUCCACCGCCUAGAACACAGUGUUGUUGCAACAAGACGAAGUUUUCCACGGAGGUUUAAUGUAACCAAAGGACCGAAAAGCGAUACAAUAAAGGAUCUGUUUGAAAAAUUUCAACGGACUGGGAACGUGAGGGAUGAACGUGCUGGAAAGGUAAGGCGACCGCGUACGGCAACCACAGAGGGCAACGCGCAGCUAGUGCAGCAGGUGAUCCAACAGCGGCCUCGGGUUUCCGUUCGCCGUGUUGCAGCUGCGGUCCAAAUGACACCAACGUCCACGUAUCGUCUCAUGCGCUAGAGUUUACACCUCUAUCCAUACAAAAUUCAAACGUGGCAACCCCUCAGCGCCGCUACCACUGCUGCACGAGAGACAUUCGCUAACGAUAUAGUGCACAGGAUUGAUGACGGCGAUAUGCAUGUGGGCAGCAUUUGGUUUACUGACGAAGCUUAUUUUUACCUGGACGGCUUUGUCAAUAAAGAGAACUGGCGCAUAUGGGGAACCGAAAAGCCCCAUGUUGCAGUCCCAUCGUCCCUGCAUCCUCAAAAAGUACUGGUCUGGGCCGCCAUUUCUUCCAAAGGAAUCAUUGGCCCAUUUUUUCAGAUCCGAAACGAUUACCGCAUCACGCUAUCUGGACAUUCUUCGUGAAUUUGUGGCGGUACAAACUGCCUUAGACGACACUGCGAACACCUCGUGGUUUAUGCAAGAUGGUGCCCGGCCACAUCACACGGCCGACGUCUUUAAUUUCCUGAAUGAAUAUUUCGAUGAUCGUGUGAUUGCUUUGGGCUAUCCGAAACAUACAGGAGGCAGCGUGGAUUGGCCUCCCUAUUCGCCAGACAUGAACCCCUGUGACUUCUUUCUGUGGGGACACUUGAAAGACCAGGUGUACCGCCAGAAUCCAGAAACAAUUGAACGGCUGAAGCAGUACAUCUCAUCUGCAUGUGAAGCCAUUCCGCCAGACACGUUGUCAAAGGUUUCGGGUAAUUUCAUUCAGAGACUACGCCAUAUUAUUGCUACGCAUGGUGGAUAUGUGGAAAAUAUCGUACUAUAGAGUUUCCCAGACCGCAGCGCCAUCUGUUGUUGAAAAUUGUAACCACUGUAAUUUAGAAAGUUUGUCUGCCUGAAAAUGUACUGUUGUCCCAAGCAUAUUGCAACAAACAGUGUAUUUCUAUCGCUGCUCAUUUAGUUUUUAUUGCCGUUUCAAAUAUACCGGUCAUUUUUGAAACACCCUGUAUUAAAUCUCAAUAUGUAUGUUAUUAAUGCUCUGUCAGUAUUGUAAUAAUUCAAUGUC